GGUCCUUGCUCCUCACCCCAAGUGACAUCAGACUCCAGCAAUGGGCGGAAACACAUACUGAAAAUGAAACACGUAGCCUCACAGUGAUGUGCCCCUCACCAGCUGCGCGGCCCCACCUUAAAUGAGGACAGGGAUUAAGGGAGCACACUGGACAGCGGAGACGAGGGGAGAGGUAGAUGGGAAUUCAUUGAAGAAUUGGGCAUAAUGUGCUCUGGGCAGUCCCCAAACCAGCUGUUUUCCAUUCGGUGGGAGUACAAGCAGUGAAAUGUAGCAGGGGUGGGAUAGACAGACAAACAAAGAAGUGUAGAAGAAGAGGGGCAAGACUGUAAAACAUGGUGUGAGACACAAUGUGUGAAGGUCACAAAGAUGGCCAUUCAAGUGGCCUGGUGUGUCCUUUUCUUUCUCUCCAUGUGUUCUUCUGUCUAAGAGAAACUAAAUAGAACAGUGGGCUCCAAAAGACACUCCCUUUAAAGGAAUAAGACUUGUUUUUAGAUGUGUUAGUGUUUGCUUUUGUUGAUAACCUACAUCUUUUUACCGUUAUUAAAUGCUCCACAUUGUGUA
Molecule: long non-coding RNA, 561 nt
Organism: Etheostoma cragini (Arkansas darter)
Lineage: Eukaryota; Metazoa; Chordata; Actinopteri; Perciformes; Percidae
Exons: 2
Source: RefSeq, a predicted model, not a curated record